UUUCCUUAACAUUUAUCUUGCAAAUCACAGCUUAGAUAUCUUCCUGUUUGUUAUUAUUACCUGUCACGUUAUAUCGUGAACACAAACACACAUGAAUUUACUUGAGAGUAAAGUUUGUGUCUUAUUUUUUUCUGUAACUGGGCUUCUUACCACAAGGCCUUGGCAUGUAACAGGUACUCAAAGGUAUGUUGAAUUGAAUUGAAGCAUAGCUUAUAAGAAUGGAAGGUAAGGGCUGUAACAAGCAAUUUAAAUAGUCCAGGUCUUAGAAAACAGUCUUUUUUUUUUAAUGUUUACCAGUUUAUUAUAAGGGAUAUGUUUUUAUUGCCAUCAUCUCUGGAAAACCAACCUUCUUAGGAGAGCUUAAUAUCCUUUCCCUACCCUAGUUUCUAUUUGUGUUAGUAAUCGUGCUCUGGGAAGGGGAAAUUGCCAACAGUCUGGCAAGCCUCCCUAGAGAGCCCUUUCAAGUACUCUGGAGAAAACAGCGAUGCCAUGUGCUGCUGCUGGGGAAGGGAAGCAGCAGCACUGGGGAGCAAGA
This 535-nucleotide long non-coding RNA is filed under the name Homo sapiens (human). RNAcentral's name for it is "non-protein coding lnc-TUBG1-1:1". Lineage: Eukaryota; Metazoa; Chordata; Mammalia; Primates; Hominidae. The record is from RNAcentral.